GCCGAAGUGGCGAAAUGGUAGACGCGCUACGUUCAGAACGUAGUGGGGGUAAAACCUCAUGUGGGUUCAAGUCCCACCUUCGGCA
RNAcentral lists this transfer RNA (85 nucleotides) under candidate division WWE3 bacterium RIFCSPLOWO2_01_FULL_42_11. RNAcentral describes it as "tRNA-Leu". It matches the Rfam family "tRNA". Rfam says of the family: Transfer RNA (tRNA) molecules are approximately 80 nucleotides in length. Their secondary structure includes four short double-helical elements and three loops (D, anti-codon, and T loops). Further hydrogen bonds mediate the characteristic L-shaped molecular structure. tRNAs have two regions of fundamental functional importance: the anti-codon, which is responsible for specific mRNA codon recognition, and the 3' end, to which the tRNAs corresponding amino acid is attached (by aminoacyl-tRNA synthetases). tRNAs cope with the degeneracy of the genetic code in two manners: having more than one tRNA (with a specific anti-codon) for a particular amino acid; and 'wobble' base-pairing, i.e. permitting non-standard base-pairing at the 3rd anti-codon position. Lineage: Bacteria; candidate division WWE3. The record is from RNAcentral.